Long non-coding RNA from Peromyscus californicus insignis, 3572 nucleotides. RefSeq lists it as uncharacterized. The transcript has 5 exons. The record is from RefSeq and is a predicted model, not a curated record. NCBI's taxonomy places the organism in Eukaryota, Metazoa, Chordata, Mammalia, Rodentia, Cricetidae.
AACUCGUUUACUAAGAUUUCCCAUUAACACCAAUUUUGUUUCCUUGCGUUCGGUUGCAACCACUAAUAUCCAGCCAGGUAUAGCUCUCGUCCCCCUAAAACCAAACAAAAAACCUAUCCAACGACUGCAGCUAAGCGAUGACGACUGUAUUGAAACAGAAACAGCAAGUCGCCUAUGAAUCAAAGUCAUUUACUUUCCCCCUUCGGGCGUGAGCUAUUACAAUGUGACUGAAAACAAUUCCACGUCAUAAUUUUUAUAUAAAAGGCUGAAAGGUGGGAAAGACUUCAGUAUUCAAAGCUGAGAACUAAACCUCACGUGCUUCUCACCCCCAAGCCUCUCCGAUUCGCAAGCAGUUCUAGAUGCCCAUUUUAGUUCUUCAGAAAGCACAGUUGCCUCUUCUGGAUUCAGGACUCCAUCUCCAGCAUCAUGGUCUAAGGAGAAUCCACACAAAACAAAAGCAAACAUCUCAAAACCAGCUCUGUAUUCAGGAACCUCAGGGCUACGCAGCCUGAACGAGAGCUGAAGGAGACUCAGCGGGCAAGACUGUGUUGCCACAGCAUCUGUUUGGAUACCAGCCAUGUGCUCAGCAAUGUCCUAUCAAAAUCCAACUUAUGAUUGCAAUCCACCAUGGCAGCAUUGACACGGCUUCCCAGAUGACCUCUCUGCACUAUUUGUGCAGAUAAUGUAGUGCAAUAUCCAAGAAAUCACUACUCAAAAGUCACAAAGCAGGCCAGAGAGAUGAGUCAGAAGUUAAGAGCACUUACUGCUCUCACAGAGGACCCAGGUUUGGUUCCCAGCACCCAUAUUAGGUGGCUCACAACCACCUGUGACUUCAACGCCAGGGAUCCAACACUCUCUUCUGGCCUCCGUGGGCACAUACAUAGAUGUAGACACAUGCAUAUAAAUAAAAAUAAAUCUUAAAAAAUUACAUUAUAAAAUGGUUGCAGUCCAGACUGUGUGUUCUUCUAAUAGUGUUAUAAUUUUAGCUCUUAUUUGCAGGUCAGUGACGUAUUUUAAUUUUUUUGUUUCUUUUGUGGCAGGGUAUUCUUGUGUAGCCCAGGUUAGCCUUAAACAUGAUAUGUAGCCCAAAUGGGCCCAGAGCUUCUAAUCAUCUUACCUUACCUCAGGAAUGCUAGAUUUACAGGUACUAACAUCAUGCUUGGCUUGAGUUAACUGUAUGCAAUGCAUUUUUCUUUCUGUCAUUUUAGAUAAGUAUUCAGCCUACCAUGGUCCUUAUCUGAAAUGCAUAUCAUCAAAGUCUUGUAAAUAUUCCUCAAACACUAGAAAAAAUGAAAUCUUUUAAUGCCUUUUUUACUGAAAAGAAUCAAGUGGGAUAAUAGUCUCAAGUCUGUUAAAAUUUUCAAAGUAUUAAGGUGGUUUUCACUCAUUUAUACUUCCUAUUUAUCUCAGUUUGUUCUUGCUUCUUAAAAUUCCAUCUCUCAAGGAUGGAGAGAUGCGCAGUGGUUAACACCAUGUGCCGUUCUUGUAGAAGCCCCAUGUUUGGUUCUGAACACCCUUAAGAGGUGGCCCACAACCACCUGUAACUCUAGCUACACCCUUUUCUUCAGGACACGUGCACAUACUCCUCAGACAGAUAGAUAUAUGCACCUAAUUUUAAGAAACAAAAUCUUUGUAAAAAAUGAUAGCUCUUUAAAAUCAGAAAACAGCUGUUUUUAUGCAUUUUCUUUUCCCAUCUCAUAAAGUAAACUUUAAGAAAAUAUUUUACUCCACAGUCCUUUACUUUCUUCUCCCUUUUGUAAAUAGGACAUAUCUUAAAGAUCCAGGUAAUUUCUUCUAUCAUUCCCUUGUAAUUUUGAUUUGUUAAGCUUUUGCUGUUAUUUUACAUAUUUUGAGGGAUAGUUUCUAUAACUUGACCCUGACAGUUUAAGCAGUUAAGAUAUGCCAUCAAGAAUCAUGUUUGUCAGAGCGGUCACCCAAACCCUGUAUUCAAUGACAACGAGACUAGAAAUGGAUGACAGCAGAGUCACACACAGGUCCCAGUGGAGCAAUGUUAAGAACACACCAUGAUCAGUUUGGACUCUCCGGUCUAGAUGCUUACUGACAUGUGGACCACUGAUCCUUUGUUCUAUGACACAGGUGUGGACUCUCUCUGGACCCAAUGCCAGCUCUAAGUGAAAUUAUCUUUUCAAAUCUGACAAGUCAGUUUCAUUUUUAGAUGCUAUUAGUGAAAAUACAUGCAGGUAAGUCAAGAAAUAGUUCCUGCUGCUUUCACUUCCACAAUCAUUCCUUUCUGAAAAUCUGCGACUGAGGCAAACCUGUUCAUAAAACUACUUCAUGACUUGGCUCCUAAGGUCUAAGUCCUGCAGGAAAAGUAUUUAUGACAUUACUUAAGUCUUUAUAAUUAAACAAAACAAAACAAAACAAAACAUCUAACCAUCAUUCUACAAUCCUUUUUCUUUUUUAUAUGAAUCUUGUAACCCUCUAAUGUUGGGUGGUAGUGACAUGUGGAUAACAUUUUCCAAAUGCCCACUGUAGAAUACCAGGUAGUACAAUCUAUUUAAAAUACCCUCUGACAUCACUAAUGGAGGGUGACAGGGAGGAGGGAAAGAAAGUUACUGUGGAAGGUCACAGAGCUUCUAUUUGGGAGAAUGAAAAAGUUUUGGAAAUAUAUAGUUGUGACAGUUCAACAACAUUGUAGGUAUUAAUGCCACUGAAUUGUAAACUCAAAAAAAAUGUCUUCUAAAGUAAAUUUUAAGUUGACCACGACCAUAGGCACAUUCCUAUAAACCUAGCACCAGACACUGAGGCAGAAACUCAUGGCCAGACCAGGCUACAUAGGAGACACUGGUAAAGAACAAAACUAAAAGGUAAAUCUUAUGUUCUAUAUAUUUUACCACCAUAUAAAAGUUAAUAAGUCAUACUUGAAGACUAUUGAACAUGUUACCUGAAAGCAGCAAUGCUUUGAUGUCAAUCAUUUGAUAAAGUAGCAGAAGACACUGAGAAUAAUAAUUUUUCUUUGGCUUUUAACUACAGUUUAUCUUUAUGUGUCUGUGUGUCCAUGUAUGUGAACAUGUGUUUCAAGACCAGAGGUCAGCAUCAGGUGUCUUCCUCAAUGGGUUUUGCACAUUAUGUUUGGAGACAGGGUCUCUCAGUGGACCUGGAGCUCAGUGAUUUGGCCGUGUUAGCCAGUCAGCCCCAGGAACUCCAUCUCCACCUCCCCAACACAGAAAUUACAAGUGACUGCUUCCAUCCCCCACUUUUUAUGUGGGUUCUUGAGAUCCUAACUCAGGACCUCACCCUUGGAUGGAAAGCAAAUUACUGACUACGGUUAUGAUUUACCUUUUAAUUUUCUAAUUUUUAUAUGUUUAUGGGUGUUUUGUCUGAAUGUAUGUCUGUGUUUCAUGUGCAUGUCUGAUGCCCAAGGAGGCCAGAAGAGGAUCCCCUGGGACAGGAGUUGUAUAUACGUGGUUGUGAGCUUCCAUGUGUGUGUUGGGAUCAAACCUAGGACCUUGGAGGGGCAGCCAGUGCUCUUAAUCACUUAGCCAUUUAUCCAGCUCCGGAUUUACCUUUUAGAGAGAAAAUAUCAUAGAAGCAGAAUAAAGUGACAAACA